RNAcentral lists this ribosomal RNA (467 nucleotides) under uncultured bacterium. RNAcentral describes it as "partial 16S ribosomal RNA". It matches the Rfam family "Bacterial small subunit ribosomal RNA", at positions 29 to 507 of the family's 1533-position model. The record is from RNAcentral.
ACGAACGCUGGCGGCGUGCUUAACACAUGCCAGUCGAACGGAAAGGCCCUGCUUUUGUGGGGUGCUCGAGUGGCGAACGGGUGAGUAACACGUGAGUAACCUGCCCUUGACUUUGGGAUAACUUCAGGAAACUGGGGCUAAUACCGGAUAGGAGCUCCUGCUGCAUGGUGGGGGUUGGAAAGUUUCGGCGGUUGGGGAUGGACUCGCGGCUUAUCAGCUUGUUGGUGGGGUAGUGGCUUACCAAGGCUUUGACGGGUAGCCGGCCUGAGAGGGUGACCGGCCACAUUGGGACUGAGAUGCGGCCCAGACUCCUACGGGAGGCAGCAGUGGGGAAUAUUGCACAAUGGGCGGAAGCCUGAUGCAGCAACGCCGCGUGCGGGAUGACGGCCUUCGGGUUGUAAACCGCUUUCGCCUGUGACGAAGCGUGAGUGACGGUAAUGGGUAAAGAAGCACCGGCUAACUACGUG